RNAcentral lists this non-coding RNA (181 nucleotides) under Bacillus sp. (in: firmicutes). Its description in RNAcentral is "Bacillus sp. Lysine sequence". It matches the Rfam family "Lysine riboswitch aptamer". From Rfam's summary of the family: Riboswitches are metabolite binding domains within certain messenger RNAs that serve as precision sensors for their corresponding targets. Allosteric rearrangement of mRNA structure is mediated by ligand binding, and this results in modulation of gene expression. The record is from RNAcentral. Lineage: Bacteria; Bacillati; Bacillota; Bacilli; Caryophanales; Bacillaceae. RNAcentral also lists the same sequence under 1 other name.
AGUGAAGGUAGAGGUGCAAACUUCAUAAGUAAAGGCUUGGAGAAGAAUGAGCUUCAAUGAAAAGCUUUGAAAGGGAAUGUUUGCCGAAGUGAAGAAAGUCUCAUCGCUUUCUUUGCUGGUUUUGCAUUUAAUAAAUGCAAGAUUGUCAAGAUAAUUAAUAUCUUGGAGAGCUAUCUCACUG